AUGGUAGUGUUUGCGUGCGCUGCAACUUUUUCUACCCAAACGAAACAUCGAAACUCUUGCCUAGACGAUACAUCGAAACAAAAUCUUGCUGCAUGUCGUACAUGUCGCCAUUUUACUGCACUGGAGUGGCAUCAAGCCGGCCAGCCUACCUGUAGAUCACUGGGUGAACACCACAUUCGUGAUGUCGGGGAACUUCUCCUUGAUGGCUGCCUUCACUCCACUUCCGAUGGACUCUGGGCCGUCAUACUUAACCAGGCAGUCCUCGCCGUCAACGGCAAGAACCUUCACACUCCCGCCGUAGUUCGCGAUCGCCGGCCGCAGUAUGUCCAGGUGCCGGUUCACCGCCUGCAAGCAACAUCCAUCCCAAGAACGCUCUCCUCUACCUCAGGCGUUGUCUCCUCCGGCUGCUGGUCCCCGUCGAACACCUGGCGGAUGUCCUUGAUGGCGUCACCGAACUUCUCCUUGAGCACUCGCUCGAUGCCCAUGUUCAUCGUCGUCGUCGAGCUUGGACAACUGCUGCACGCCCCUGGAUUGUGGUGA
Molecule: ribosomal RNA, 540 nt
Filed under: Triticum aestivum (bread wheat)
Lineage: Eukaryota; Viridiplantae; Streptophyta; Magnoliopsida; Poales; Poaceae
Description: partial small subunit ribosomal RNA
Source: RNAcentral